This is a long non-coding RNA of Gallus gallus (chicken), 5837 nucleotides long. The record is from Ensembl. NCBI's taxonomy places the organism in Eukaryota, Metazoa, Chordata, Aves, Galliformes, Phasianidae.
CCUUUAUCCUGCCUUUCAUAUGGGGCAAUUGUGAGCUAAAUCAGGCCACGUGGCUAUAUCUUAUGCAGGUGUAAAUGACUGAAGCGUACUUUCAAAGUGUGAUUCAGCUGUCAUAGUUUAGUUGUCUGUUUUCAGAUGAGAUGAAUUGCAUUGCAGAAAUGCCAGUUUAUUCUUAUUGACUAUAAAGGGAGCCUUGGGUGACCAGCUCAGAUAAAAGGAAAACAUAACCAAAAAUGGGAGAGAGUAUCCGAGAAAGAGUGUAUGAGCAUGUAAUGAAAGAAUGCAUCAUCACUCUUACAGGCUCUGAAGCUAAAUGAAUAUUGCAUGCACCACUGCCAUCUCACAUUUAGUAAGUACUUAUCUUUCAGCCUUCCUGUUAUCUCAGGGUAACGCGCUAUAACAGUCUACCAAGAGGAUUCACAUCAUGGACAUGAACGCACUCACAUACGUUCUUCUCCCCACUAUUCCCUCAACAUGAAGAUGAAGUUUCUCAGGAGACAAAGAACUGUUCAACACUGUUAUGAAAUCGAGGACAGAAAUCCAACUGGGAUAAUGUGCAAAGCGUGUGGAAUUAAGGCAAGAAUCACAGAAUUGCAGGAAUUGGAAGAGACCUCAAGAGUCCAACCCCUGCUAAAGCAGGUUCCCUACAACAGGUCACACAGUGGCUGAACAUCCAUACCAUCAAUGGAAAUGGAGACUAAGUCUUUAUCUGAGUCCAUAUCACAUCUAUGGGAGUUUUUCCAUUGACCUCAAUGGGUCAAAGGGAUCAAGUAUUUUAUUUUAUUUUAUUUUAUUUUAUUUUAUUUUAUUUUAUUUUAUUUUAUUUUAUUAUUUUAUUUUUUUGUUAGAAUUUCUUUCCAUCAAGUUGGAGAAACAGGAUGUAAAUAUUGAGUCACCGUCCCCAUUGCUAACCAUGCACCAAGAUUAGCCAGUUGGACUUGGUGUGGGACUUACCUCCUAAGAGGUCAUGAUCCCCGUGACCGAGGAGCCCAUUCAGGUAGGGAUGAGUGAAUUUUUGCUUUGAAAUAGAUGUCAUCCAUCAGUAGAUACUACAAGCAAGACCUCAAGUUCCAGAAAUUUCAACACUUUCAAGUCAAGGGCUGGGAUCCAUCCUGGACUGCUGCUGGUUUGGGCUGUUGGUGAUAAAAUGCCAAAGCGCAGCUCGUUUUACAACUUACAUCUAUUGAAACUGCCAACAGAGCUCCACUGAUGGAGAGUCACACUCUUCCCAACAGCUUUUAGAGCUCAGUGAAACCAAAGCUGCGAAGAAGAUGUAAUAAAAGAAACUGAAGAGGAAGUGAAAGGGAAGAAGACUGUGUGAUUUUUGAGGAAGAAUCUACAUGCAGGUGAGGAUGGAGUCAAAGUGAGAGCACUGCACUGCAGCCAGUGAGCACAACAGCAAGUGCAGGGGAGUUGCUGCCUCAGUAUGUAGCAGGUAAAACAACAUUGCUCUGAAUGCUACUAUGCAGCAGGUAGUGAGCUCAGUACAUUUUUUGCGUGGAGCAAUUCAUCUAUACUUCAUGUAAAGCCACCCAAAAAUCCUCUGAUAAAUUAAAUUCAUAUAUAUUAAAUUCAUGCCAUCCAGAGGGAUCUGGACAGGCUUGAGAGAUAUGCCCAUGCCAACCUCAUGUAGCGCAGCAAGGCCAAAUGCAAGGUUCUGCAUCUGAGUUGGGGCAGUCCCAAGCACAGAAACAGGUUGGGUGGAGAGUGGCUUGAAAGCAGCCUUGAGGAAAAGGAUUUGGGGGUGUCAGUUGAUGAAAGGCUCAAUAUGAGCCAGCAAUGUGCGCUUGCAGCCCAGAAAGCCAACUGUAUCCUGGGUUGCAUCAAGAGAAGCGUGACCAGCAGGUCGAGGGAGGUGAUUCUGCCCCUCUACUCUGCUCUCAUGAGGCCCCACCUGGUGUACUGCCCCAGAACAAGAAGGACAUAGAGCUGCUGGAGCCAGUCCAGAGGAGGGCCAUGAAGGUGAUCAGAGGGCUGGAGCAAUUUCCCAAUGAGGAGAGGCUGAGAGAGCUGGGGCUCUUCAGCCUAGAGAAGAGAAGGAUCCAGGGAGACCUUAUAGAGGCCUUCCGGUACCUGAAAAGGGCCUACAGGAAAGUUGAAGAGCUACUUUUUAUAAUGGCAGGUAGCGACAGGAUGAGGGGAAAUGGCUUUAAAGUGGAAGAGGGUAGAUUUAGACUAGAUAUUAAGAAGAAAUUCUUUACUGUGAGGGUGGUGAGACACUGGAACAGGUUGCUCAGAGAGGCUGUGAAUGCCCCCUCCCUGUAAGCAUUCAAGGCCAGGCUGGAUGGGGCUUUAAGCAACCUGGCCUAGAGGGAGGUGUCCUUGCCUAUAGCAGGGAUCUUAAAGGUCCCUUCCAACUCAAACCAUUCUCUGAUACUAUAGUAUUACAGUGCCCAAGGUAUACCUGCUUGGCUGUCAGUAUGCACACUGGAUGUCAUGACUGGAUGCUAUUGGAAAGCAGACGGAGAGGAAAAUUUAAGCAGUAAGCAUACAAUUAAAUCUCCUCAUGCCUGGGAAGUCAUACAUGUGAAAAAGGGAAACACUGUCCUGGUCCAGAAGAGGUAGGUCUUCAGCAAAGAGCUUGAAACUGAAGGACACAACACAAAGUCUACAUGAAUAAGAUAUCAAGUGACUUAAGAGCUAAAGGUUUUCACUUAGUUUCAGUAACUUCAAAAUUUUAGAGUGUCAGUGGAAGAGCUAACAAGUACCUAGAGGCAGGAGGCAGGGAACACAAUAGUCUUGAAAUGGUCUAGGCAGAGCAGGAGACAAACAUGUGGAAGGACAAGGGAGCAGGGAAAGGGCAUUGCAAAGGGUCAUCAGUAUGAGUAGAAGCUUUCUCCAGUGUAAAACGGAGAGAAGAUUGAGGGAUGGAUUAUGUUUAGAUACAUGACUCAGACUGCUGAUUUUGAGCUCCGUUUCUGAACAAAUUGCCCCAGGACCUUCACCUGCUGCAGCCCAUGUCUGCACAGAGGUGCAUCUCCCCAGGCUGUACGCCACCUUCACCACCACUACCCUCCCUUCUCCCAAUAGGAGUCAGUCAAAAGCAGUGAUCAACAUGGAAAAGACUACAUAUUGAACUGUGAAAACAGUAAGAGAUGUAUGCAUUCCUCCUUGAUGCACGUAGCCUUUAACCUUCAGCCCAGAUUGCUGAGCCUACAUGUGCUGGGCAUGCUGGGAUCUAGGGAUGGAGGAGGAUGGCUAAGUUCAUCUCUUACUUUUGUGCCUAAGGUACACGAGGAAAUAACAAUAUGAAGGCAGAUCAAAGGUCCAUCUAGCUCAGCGCCUUGGUAGGGGUUGGGAGAAAUUCCUUAGGGAAGAUCCUUGAGAAUGGGCAGUAUAGCAGCUGAGGCUCCACUUAGAACAGCCCGUUGGCUUCCAGCAACUGGCAACUUACAGCCUCACUGUCCCCAGGGUUGUGUCCAGACCACCAAGUUUAACAGCCAUUGCCUUACCUUCCCUGAAUCUGUCUAAUCCCUUCUUGGACCCAUUACUUCACAGCUCUGUAAUAGACGUUCUCACAGACACCACUUGGCAGUGAUACACGUAUGGGAGAAACCAAGCAUGCCUGAGCUUGUUAAAGAAAAUAAAAAUACAAGACAGAGUGGACUUCCAGAGCCUUCCUUCCCUCCCAGCCCUCUUUUGAGGCCUUGGUUUCUCAGCUCCUCUGCCUACCAGGGGCUGCUUUCUGCCUCCUCUAGCUUCUUCUGCAGGCAGAAGCCCAGCCAGGAGGAUGGAAGCUGGAUGAAGCAUGCUGGUGACAACCAGCUGCUCAUCACAAGUUUUAAAAUGGCCCUGAUGCUGUAUUUCACACAAAGGCAGGUGGGCUGAGGAUGGUCCAGAUAAAUCAGGUCAUACAUCUGCUGUGGAAAGCAUGCCCCAAGGGCCAGAUGUGUUCCGCAGCACUUAUGUGCUCCACUCCUCCAAUCGCCCCAGGAGCAAGCCAACUGGGUCCCUUUAAAAUCUGCCCCUUUGGUGUUGCUACUACACCACUAAUGAUUUACCUCUGUUUAGCGCUGGCAGAAGCAGUGGCUUUGUUGACUUGGGUGUGCAGCUGGUUCCUGGACAUUCCUGGGGCAAAUCUCAUGAUUGCUGAUGCCAGUGAAAAGCUAUGCUGAGCCUGAUGGACCCACACAGCAGCAAUGGGAUCUGUCAACAGAGAUUGAUGUCAGCGUUAAAUCCAACUGUAGCUAAAGGGCAUCUCUGCUGGGUUGUGACAGUAGCAAAACCAUGUUGAAAGCCAGAUUUCAUCCAAUGCACUACGAGGGACACUUUAAAACAAGUUAAAGGGUUUUAUGACCUGAUUUGGCCUUAUUUGCUCUGAGCACUGCUGCCAUUGAGUACAGCACUAAUCUGGUUUGGUCACAGUAGAGUUCACAUUUUUAUGGGCUGAUGACAAAUUAGUAUGAGGCUCAUUUACUUUGCAUAGAACAAGCCAUCAGCUCCCAAGCUGCAUGGGCAACCAGUCCUGCUGAUGCCGAAUUACCUGCCUCUCCAAGAGCCAUUUACCUACAGCAGUCUUGCUUCAAAAUCACAAGUGACCUUCACUGAGUUUUUGAGUAUGUCCUUUGUUCUACACUCCUGGAAUCUCCUAGGGAUGUUUUGAAACUGCUGUUGGCUUCCUGGGGGAGUGGAAGCAGAUGGGUCAGUUCAGAUACAAAGAGGGCAAAGGAAUAUAAGAAUGCAUACACCCUGUGCUUCUAAAGCAUCACCUCUGGUCUGCCAUGUCACAGCUGGGACAUAAUUCUCAGGAUUUCACCUUCUUAUUCCCUUGGUCUGAUACAUUUCUUCAAGCCACCUCACAUGCAUUCUCUGGGCCUGGCCAUGUUUCACUAUGCUCGUCUUCCUCCAUCUCCCAUUAGCAAAUUCUAGCACAGUUUCACUCCACAGCUCUCAGAUUUGUCAUUGCUUCUUUUGCUGCGUGGUGUGUAGAACUCACAAUGCGGCAGGCAACAACAGGAAUCAGAAGCAAAGCAGCAGUUCUAUCAGACAGAGCUGGACUCAACAGACCAGCAGAGCCCAGAAGAACGAGGAGUCUCACAGGACAGCACAGGCAUCUGAGACGGAGGCGUGUUGCUUUGGCCAGAGCUUUCUCCUGGGGUGGCUAACGAGAGAGGUCUGCUCACACUGAGCACUGCUUGGAGACUUUCCUGGCAGUUUUUUUUAACACCUCUUCUUGUUCUCACUUGUUAUCUGUCAACAGCUGAAGCCAGUUGGCUUCAUGGAGGGCGUACAAAAGGGAGCAAUGAAGAGAGUGGAUUUCCAGUCACACAAGAACGCAGUGCUUUAACAAUGGCAACAGAUAUCCUCGGCUUAAUGUUUUGUCGUAAUACAUGGAAAGUAAGAAACAGUCCAUUGAUACUGAGCACUUUAAUGAAUAAAAAAAAAAAACGAAAAAAGGUUUCAUUCCAGACUUUAAGAAUGCCAAUAUUGUGUAAUAAAAAUGGUAAACAGAAUGUUCGGAGCUUUUGCUUUGAGUCCCAAAAUGAAAAAAGAUGAAGCUUUAUUACUUUUUUUUUUUUUUAAUACAGUCUAGAGCCUUUCACUUUGGCUGCUAAUACAAAGAUGAUGGGAUAUAACACUGUGACACAGCAGCUGCCUUUUCAAUGAGGAAAGAGCCUCCAAACUUUGGUUUGCUAGUAUGACAUUCACCAAGAGACUAUUUAAUAAAAAAACAUGUAGUAUGAGGUCAGGUAUCUACAAGCUGGAUCCGGAUCCAUUAGUACAAAUGGACUUCAAAGCUUUGAUCCAUCCGUUUCAAACUGAAGGGAUCGUGUUGGCAUGUUUUGAGAGAAUAGACAUAUGCUCUGGAUGUCCAUGUUCCUCUUCAUCAAAAUCAC